RNAcentral lists this ribosomal RNA (405 nucleotides) under uncultured prokaryote. RNAcentral's name for it is "bacterial SSU rRNA". It matches the Rfam family "Bacterial small subunit ribosomal RNA", at positions 355 to 776 of the family's 1533-position model. The record is from RNAcentral. RNAcentral also lists the same sequence under 1 other name.
UGGGGAAUAUUGCACAAUGGGGGAAACCCUGAUGCAGCGACGCCGCGUGAAGGAAGAAGUAUUUCGGUAUGUAAACUUCUAUCAGCAGGGAAGAUAAUGACGGUACCUGACUAAGAAGCUCCGGCUAAAUACGUGCCAGCAGCCGCGGUAAUACGUAUGGAGCAAGCGUUAUCCGGAUUUACUGGGUGUAAAGGGUGCGCAGGUGGUAAGGCAAGUCAGAAGUGAAAACCCGGGGCUCAACUCCGUGGAUUGCUUUUGAAACUGUCCUACUAGAGUCCGGGAGAGGUAAGCGGAAUUCCUAGUGUAGCGGUGAAAUGCGUAGAUAUUAGGAGGAACACCAGUGGCGAAGGCGGCUUACUGGACUGGUACUGACACUGAGGCACGAAAGCGUGGGGAGCAAACAGG